RNAcentral lists this ribosomal RNA (1396 nucleotides) under Triticum aestivum (bread wheat). RNAcentral's name for it is "partial small subunit ribosomal RNA". The record is from RNAcentral. Lineage: Eukaryota; Viridiplantae; Streptophyta; Magnoliopsida; Poales; Poaceae.
UAAACCCAGGGAUCGUCUUCUCCCUCUUCUCUCCCCCCGUCCUCCUCCUGCGAACCCGGCGGCGUCAUCUGCUAACCCUCGCCAGGACGGCGGCGCUCCGUGCCACUUCUCGCCGACUUUUUUGGAAUCAGGCAAAGAUGACGAGCAAGCAGGAGCCCUGGACUCGACUUUCCCACAGUACGAAGUUACCAGGAUGGGUCGCGUACAAUCCAAGGACCAUGAGGCCUCCACCAUUGAGCGGCGACACCAAGCAAAUGAAGAUUCUAUCCUGGAAUGUCAAUGGGCUGAGAAAUAUUGUACAGUCAGGAGGUUUCUCUUCUGCAUUGGCUCAGAGGGAGAAUUUUGAUGUGUUGUGUCUUCAAGAGACACAUUUGAAGGAGGGUGAUGUUAAAGAUUUCAUGAACCUGAUACCUGGGUAUGAGUAUAAUUAUUGGUCAUGCAGUGUCGCGAGGCUUGACUAUUCAGGGACUGGAGUAAUUUCACGGGUAAAACCAAUCUCUGUCCAAUAUGGAAUUGGCAUAGCUGAACAUGAUCAGGAGGGCAGGGUUAUUACUUUGGAGUUUGAGAACUUUUACUUGGUGAAUGCUUAUGUCCCAAAUUCUGGCCGUGGUUUACGUAGACUGGUUUACAGGGUUGAUAGCUGGGAUCCAUCUUUCGCCGACUUUGUAGAAAAACUGGAAAGUUUCAAGCCAGUAAUUGUUUGUGGUGAUCUCAACUGUGCUCGUCAGAGUAUUGACAUUCACAAUCCUCCAGCCAAAACUGAAGAUGCAGGUUUCACAGAAGAAGAGAGGGAAUCAUUCCAGAUAAACUUUGAUAUGAGAGGCUUCGUUGAUACCUUCAGAAAGCAGCAUCCCAAGGCUGUGGGUUACACCUUCUGGGGUGAAAAUCAGCGGCGUAACGACAAAGGUUGGCGGCUGGAUUACUUUCUUGCGUCAGGAUCCAUCAUCGACAGGGUUCAUGAUUCGUACAUCCUCCCGGACGUGACAUCCAGCGACCACAGUCCAAUUGGCCUUGUGCUCAAGCUCUAGCCUCUAGGCACCCUCAGUUGCUGGGGAAAUGCUUCGUCAGGCUGAAUCGUUUGCAUAGUCAGUUUUUCCGUGGAUUUUUUCUACUUAAAGGAUCUACCUAGAGUAGUCUGUCAAUGUUCUGCAGAGGUCUUGCGUAUUUGUUAUCUUAAGGCCUGUUCGGAGGCCCUCUGCUCCUCGACUCUGCUCACGGAGCUGCCGGGACCGUAGUUGAGAAUUACGGAGCGGACGAAUCGGUACUCCGCAGAUCUUUCUAUUUUGCGGAGCUGGUCGAGUGCCGAACGGGUUCUUACUAUGUCAUGUGCUCAUUAAACUUUUGCAAUGUGAAUGGAUUCUAAACCGGAGGUUGCUUCUACAACUGGGUUUCUCUC